Non-coding RNA from Rattus norvegicus (Norway rat), 69 nucleotides. The record is from Rfam. Lineage: Eukaryota; Metazoa; Chordata; Mammalia; Rodentia; Muridae.
GGGGAUUUAGCUCAGUGGUAGAGCGCUUGCCUACGAAGCGCAAGGCCCUGGGUUCGGUCCCCAGCUCCA